RNAcentral lists this ribosomal RNA (572 nucleotides) under Zootermopsis nevadensis. Its description in RNAcentral is "eukaryotic LSU rRNA". It matches the Rfam family "Eukaryotic large subunit ribosomal RNA", at positions 670 to 1139 of the family's 3401-position model. Lineage: Eukaryota; Metazoa; Arthropoda; Insecta; Blattodea; Termopsidae. The record is from RNAcentral.
GGAGUCUAACAUGUGCGCGAGUCACUGGGAUUCAUAUUAAACCCAGAGGCGCAGUGAAAGCGUGGGGCGCGCCCGGUACGCCGGGCCGCYGCUAAGGGAGGACGGCCGGUCGUUCCUCUCACGGGGUGCGGCCGGCAAGCACUCCCGGGGCGCCUCGGUCCAGGCCGAAGGCGCACCCGGAGCGCACACGUUGGGACCCGAAAGAUGGUGAACUAUGCCCGGCCAGGACGAAGUCAGGGGAAACCCUGAUGGAGGUCCGCAGCGAUUCUGACGUGCAAAUCGAUCGUCAGAGCUGGGUAUAGGGGCGAAAGACUAAUCGAACCAUCUAGUAGCUGGUUCCCUCCGAAGUUUCCCUCAGGAUAGCUGGCGCCGAGUUGGAAUGGGACCAGUCUCAUCCGGUAAAGCGAAUGAUUAGAGGCCUUGGGGCCGAAACGACCUCAACCUAUUCUCAAACUUUAAAUGGGUGAGAUCUCCGGCUUGCUUGAGCGAAGCCGCGAGAUAAGAGAGGGUGGGGGGGGCUUGCUCUCCCCCUCUCUCCCACUCGGAUGAUGGUGCCAAGUGGGCCAAUUUUG